Molecule: ribosomal RNA, 253 nt
Filed under: uncultured bacterium
Lineage: Bacteria
Description: partial 16S ribosomal RNA
Rfam family: Bacterial small subunit ribosomal RNA
Source: RNAcentral
GACGAACCGUGCGAACGUUGUUCGGAUUCACUGGGCUUAAAGGGCGCGUAGGCGGAUUGUCAAGUCAGGGGUGAAAGCCUCCAGCUCAACUGGAGAAGUGCCUUUGAUACUGAUGAUCUCGAGGGAGGUAGGGGCAUGUGGAACUUCCGGUGGAGCGGUGAAAUGCGUAGAUAUCGGAAGGAACGCCGGUGGCGAAAGCGACGUGCUGGACCUCUUCUGACGCUGAGGCGCGAAAGCUAGGGGAGCAAACGGG